UACAGAGGGGGCAAGCGUUAUUCGGAAUUAUUGGGCGUAAAGGGCGCGUAGGCGGCGAUUCAAGUGACGGGUGAAAUCCCUCGGCUUAACCGAGGAACUGCCUGUCAGACUGGAUUGCUUGAGGCCGGGAGAGGCGAGUGGAAUUCCCAGUGUAGCGGUGAAAUGCGUAGAUAUUGGGAGGAACACCGGUGGCGAAGGCGGGUCUCUGGGCAGUAACUGACGCUGAGGAGCGAAAGCGUGGGGAGCGAACAGG
RNAcentral lists this ribosomal RNA (253 nucleotides) under uncultured bacterium. RNAcentral describes it as "partial 16S ribosomal RNA". It matches the Rfam family "Bacterial small subunit ribosomal RNA", at positions 524 to 776 of the family's 1533-position model. The record is from RNAcentral.